Non-coding RNA from Podarcis lilfordi (Lilford's wall lizard), 8741 nucleotides. Lineage: Eukaryota; Metazoa; Chordata; Lepidosauria; Squamata; Lacertidae. The record is from the annotation of a GenBank genome assembly.
GCUCAGUAGCUCGAUACAACCACAUUUCUCCACAGACACGUCUUCCCUUAUUGAAAGGUAAUGGUGGGAACCAACCUAAGGACAUGCAAAAUGCAAGAUUUUUUAAUCAAUGAGAAGCUAUUAAUUUAACCAACUCUUCCUGUAAUAAUAUUGAGACAGACUGUCUGCCUGUUUUUACAUUAUAGCUAGCUUUGCAAUCUGUGUGGAACGUAAUGAGGUGUGUAAUUUUUGUGAAUUUAUUGAUUGUGAAUAAGUAGUAAGAAUUUAAAGCUGACAGAUUGUAGCACUUUUCUCACUUAGUUCUUUAAAAAUUAGCUCGUUUAGUAUCAGCUGUUGACUUUUGCCACCGCAUAUGGAAUUCAUUUUGAUGGGGGUUUUUUUGGCGGGUGGGGGGAAGAUAAGUUAUAUUCGAAUAGAGUCUUGCUCUUAUUCAACGGAUCAGGGAAAAGCUUGAAAUGUAUGUAAAAUCUCCACUGCUGCUUCAAGUGCUCCACUUAACAGCAUGAUCCUAUGCAUGCUUUCUAAAAAGUAAGUCCCGUUGUGCUCAUUGUGCUUACUCCUAGGAAAAGGAAUGCAGGAUUGCUACCUAAAUAAUGGAAUAUAGGGGUACAGCCUGGUGGCAUUACAAGUGUUGGCUUAAUAGUGUAUAAAAUAAUAGAUAAGCUCAUCUGUACAUAGAGAACAUAAGAUGAGUCUGUUGGACCAGGCCAAUGGCAUCUCCCAGUGGCCAACCAGAUGCCUAUGGGAAGUUUGAAAGCUGAACAUAAACAACAGAACUCUACUGUUCGAGCAACAGACCCUUGCUCCAAAUCUCUUAUUUAUGUCACAUUAGGCUGAAAGAGAUGAGAAAUAAAACAAUUUUUGUGGUAGCAACCUUGUCAUGAAACUCCCUUUCCUGGGGAGCCUUUCCAGACAGACGCCUUGUGAUUUUAUUGAUUUAUUUGACAAAUAUUGGCAGUCUAUUAACAAUGUUCUCUGGCUGGUUCAGUUCUCUGAAAAGGGAGUUAGCUACCUCUGGUCUAGUUGUAAUGGUCUAGUUGUUACCUGCUGUCAGGGAUUGGGCUCAAGAGGGGGAGAUGGAGGAGGAGGGGGAAUGGUGGAGAUCACGCCCCCCCUUCUCCUGAUGCUGCAGGAGAGGGGGAAGGCAGUGCUGAAUUCCAGCAGGGCUUUGAGGAAUUUGAGGAAGGUCACAGCUCAGAGAUAGACAAACGGAGAAGUUGGGCAGUGUUGGAAGAAGAAGGGGGGACUGCAAAGGGGCAGCUAGAUGACACAUUGUCACUGGAGAGCAUUUCUGAUCCCCCUUCUCCCAGAAUGCAAUGUUUGUUAAGAGUACAGGAACAAAGGACUCAGAGACAUUUGGCCACAAGUGGCCACCAUAAGGGAAGAUGCAGUUGUUAGGAUGGAGGGAGGAGGAGCCUAGUUUGGAGCAACACUAUUGUUGAGGCUUGUUGCGUUCUUUUGCCUCUCACUAUUCAGAUUGAAUAAAACUCAUUAAAAAUACAGUCAUACCUCGGGUUGCGAGCGUGAUCUGUGCGGGAGGCACCUUCGCAACCCGCAGAGCUGUGUCUGCACACGCAUGCGCGUGAUGCAAUUCGGUGCUUCUGAGCAUGCUCUUGACAUCAUUUUGUGCUUCUGCGCAUGCAGCGAAACCUGGAAGUAACCCAUUCCAGUACUUCCGGGUUUGGCGCAGUCCGCAACCCGAAAAUGCGCAACCCGCAGAGUUCGCAGCCCAAGGUAUGACUGUACCUUGUUUUCUCUGCUGCAACUGGGGGAGGAAUAGCUUUCCUAAGCCUUGGCAGAGCCUUGACACCUGCUUUACCCCUUCAGGCAGGAAAACCUGAAGAAGGACGUCCGGUCAAAAUGUGGACAGGUGGAGGUGAUCCUUCAGGAAACCUGGCUCCAAGUCAUUUAGAAAAUGGGGCAGUGGGAAGAGUUCACAGAAGCUGACUGCAUCAAAUUUGCGUAGGAGUGGGUGAAUUUGUCCAUUUAGGUUUCUCUUGUUUUCACAUUGUUCUAGUCUUAACAUUCAGUUCUCCGCAUUUCCACCUCGGUCUGAGUUUUCUAUUUUUAAAGCAUUUCUCCUAAUAUGCACAUUUUUUGUGCAUGUGAUUUUGCCUAUAACGAACAUUUUUGCAAAACAUUUCCCGUAGCACAUGCUAAAAACAUUCGUGUUUAGAUAAGGCUACCCAGACGCUUAGGAAGCUGAGGUAAUUUCAAUCUGGUUUUGUAUUUCAGCUUUUGUAUGUUUUAAAGUAGGGGUUGUGGGUUUUUCUACAUCUCAGUGUUUUUGCUCUCAAAAAAAUGCUUUGAGAUUUAUUAAUUUUUUUUACAAGCAAGCAGUGUAUACAUACUAUGAAAUUAUAUAUAUAUAUAUAUAUAUAUAUAUAUAUAUAUAUAUGCAUGUCAUUUUCAUGAAUAUACAUCACACAUUUUUAUGCACACUUUAGCACAGUAUAUGGAUCUUUGUGCACAUUACUUGUCUGGAGAACUGCACUGCAAAAUUCAGAGAAGUGUGGAUUUUGAAGGAUGGUUGCAUUUCAGCUCUUUUACUGUUUCAGAAAGCAUGAGUUGCGUAGACUUGCCUUUAAAAGUGAAUCAAAUUUCUCCUUCAUUGCUAGGUAUGACACACAAGGCAAUAUCAGCAAGCCAGCUCUAGUUUAGAGCAUAAAAUGAUUCCAACUAAUAGCUGAAUAGGCAGACUUUAAAAAAAUAUGAGCACAUAUCUAAUGUAUAACUACAUCAUUUUAAGAAGAAGAUUUUCUAAAUCAGUUUAAACUGCUCCCCCCCAUCCAUGCUAAGUUAUGGCAUAUUUCUACAAUAAACUUAAAAAUAAGUAUUCAAAGAAGGAACCUGCUGUCAGCAGAUGGUUACAGGAUUUUGCAGUUCUUGAUUGAUCUAUUAUCUCUGCAAUAUUUCUCUGAUCUUUUCAUCUGCAUUCUGCACACCAUCUAACACCUUAUGACAUUAUGUGUGAUAGCUGUGGUACUUCUAUAGCUAGCACUUAUAUUUUCUGACAGGUACAGAUCUGUCUCGAAACAAUUUUUGCAAAGUCUUGAACAUUUUAAUGUAUUUUUGUCAGGAUUUUCAAACCUGAUAUUAAGUGAGUAGUCAACAGCUGUUGAUUCAUAUUGUGUGCAUGUGCGUGUUUUAAAACACACACACACACACACACACACACACACACACUCUUUCUUUCUUUUCUUUUCUUGCUUUUUGAUGUAUCUUUUCUCAGAUAUCAAGGAAUGCCAGCACAGCUUUUGCAAUUAACUCAUAUAUUACUUUCUGCAUAAUGCACUUGAAGUCCUAAUUAAGGAGUUUAAUCAGAUAGAGUUAGCUCUGCUUUUGUCCGUUGAACUCAUGCACUCUGUUGGUAGCUGAGUGGUACACCGUGUGUUUAUUUAAGCACCAAAUGUAUGCCCAGUAUGUUUUCAUUUGUUUAAGGGACAUACAUGCAGAAGUAUGUUGUCAUAGUUUAUUAAAAACACUUAUAUGCUGUCUUUUAUCAUAAUGAAAGAAGGGCUGUAACUCAUUUGUAGAGUAUCUGCUUUGCUUGAAAAAAGGUCCCAGUUUAAAUCCCUGGCAUCUCCAAGCAGGUUUGGAGAGACGGCAAUCCAAAAUCCUGGAGAACCACUGGGCCAAUAGUCUGACUUUUGUAUAAGGCAGCUAGGGUUUUAGUGCAUUUGCUUGAAAGCAGAGCUGUCAAAAAGACAUAAUCAGCAGACCAAGUUGAUGGAGUAUGCUGAAAUGGCAAAAUUAAUUGGGAAGCUCAGGAACCAAGAAGACAAGAAAUUGAAAAAAGAAUGGGAAAUGUUUAUAAUGUAUAUACAAAAUCAUUGCAAACAGGUCAAAACAUUAGCAGGAUUUUAAAUACAUUUGUAAUGUAAUAGAAACUACAGAUAAUUUAGGAAGAUGAAAGAAAUGGAGAAGUAUUGAUAUAUGCAGAUGAAAACAGAAUUAAGAGGACCCCUGGAUGGGAUGGCGGGAAAUCGGGAGAUGCAGAAUAAUCUCGAUAUGUGAAUGUGUAUGGCAUUUUGAUGUAACUUUUUCUUUUUUCUUCCUUUUUCUUUUUGUUCUUCUUUCUUUUCUUUCUUUUUGAAAAUCAAAUCAAUUUUUUUUUAAAAAAAAACCACAUAAUCAAACUUUGUAUUUUUAUCUCUAGUUGUUUUGAAAUAAAAGUGAGGUCAGAGUUGCUGAAAUACUUUUUUGUGAAAUCUCUGGUGCUUCUCCUUUUUUCAUGAUGGUUAAUUAUUUUCUCAUAAACAUAUACAAGUGCAGAUCACUUAAUAUCAGUAGAUAGAGGAAUAACAUGGUGGAAAUUGUACCACUGAUGAGCUUAUCAAAAAGAUUUAACGAGAUUGCCACUGAGUCACAGAUUCGAGGUUGCCUGUUUACAUGACAAAUUAAAACUGAACAGGCUACUGUACAAUGCUGACCUGACAUAUUUAAAAGAGCACUAAAAGAAUAAGCAGGUAAAACUAUUAUGAGAUGAACAAGAGUUAAUGUGACCAGGCAUAUAAUAUAAACCACAUCUAAAAAAUCUGUUGGAUAUAAAUCAAUGGGUCAUGAAAAUUUAAGGAAAUUUAACUUGCCUAACUCCCUUUCCGAUUUAAUAGGAUCCAUUAAAUAGGAAACAGUAUAGCUAGCUAAUGAAAAGAACACCAAAGUUAUCACGUUCUGUUGUGUCCUCCCUGGGUCCUUUUGUCCUUUGAUUGCACUGGUAGAUAAUAUUAUUUUGUUCCCAAGGAAAUAUGUCCCUUUGAUUAGGUUGUAGAUAUUCUCUCAUUUGUCAUUGUUCUAUCGAGCUCUGCCAUAUAACAGCAGGAACCCUUGAUUAUUUAAUUGCUUGUAAGAACUCAUUAAAUCUUACUAUCAAUCAUGGGACAUAUGGUAAAUAUCACCCAAUGGUACAAGAGAUUGUUACAGAGACCUGUCACUAGGGCAUACCAUUUGCUUUUAUAUUAUGAGUCUAUUGUUUGGUUGCCCAGCCACAAUUAUUUUUAAUUACUAAUGAUUUACGGAUAAUAGUUCAUCUACUGAUAUGAGCAUGUUCUUAGAAAGAACACGAAAAACACUGGCAAUUUAAAAAGUAGGCGUUUCUGGACAGCUGAUAUAUUAUAGCAGCUAAGAGAAUUAACUUUGAUCCAUGAACUUGCUGGUUCAAGGCUCACCUCAGCCAUGACCUCACUAAGUAUGGCUUCUUCUGCAAUGCAGGAAUGAUGAAUAUGGCUUUGCAGGCCUGUUUUUAAGUAUUACUAUGUUAGCAUAUGUGAUGUCUUUUGAGCAUGCUUAAAUUAUUGCACAUUUUCAUUCAUUUUACAGAUGCUGGUCCUGGGCCAAUGAAUAUCUGAUCUUUAUACCAACUUGCUGGCUUGAAUGUGGAUGGAGAGUUGAAUAAAAAGUAAAACCAAAGAGGUCACAAUGACAGACCAAAGGUGUCCACCUUCCAGGAAGAUAACUGCCAAUACCAUAUUGGCCCGAAUAUAAGCCGCACCUUUAAAAUUCAAGGGAGGGGGGGAAAAGAAGACAAUACCCAAAUAUAAGCCGCUCCCUUAAAAUUAUGCAGGCACUCACACCCGUAAAUGGCAAAAAUCUACAGCGAUAUUGAAAAAGCCAAUUUUUAUAAGGUUGCAAAUUUAAGUCACACUUUAACUUUUCACGGUCGGAAUUUGGGAAAAAAGUACCGGUUUUUUUGCCCUAUAGGACGCACUUUUUCCCCUCCAAAAAUGAAGGGGAAAUGUGUGUGCGUCCUAUGGGGCGAAUGCAGGCUUUCGCUGAAGCCUGGAGAGCGAGAGGAGGCGCACGGUCCUCCGCUCCAGGCACCGACCCUCUCGCUCUCCAGGCUUCAGGAAGCUAUCCGCUAGCCGUGGGAGACAUAGCUCUCCCAUGGCUAGCGGAGAGCUUGCUGGCACCCAGAAGCUUGGGGCAUGCUGAGCUCAGCACACCCCAAGCUUCGGGCUUCGCGCAGCGCUCCGCUAGCCGUGGGAGAGCUGCAUGACUUCACGCAGCUCUCCCACGGCUUGCAGAUAGCAGCCUGUUCUGGGGGCUGGGGUCGGGGGAAGCUCGGACUUCCCCCGCCCCAGCCCCACACCGGGGGGGAAAUAAAUUUUUUUUCUUUAUUUCCCCCCCCCAAAAAAAAACUAGGUGCGUCCUAUGGGCCGGUGCGUCCUAUGGGGCGAAAAAUACGGUAUUUCAUUUAAUUGAACAUAUUAAUAUUAUUAUUAUUUAUUCAACUUAUACACUGCCCUCAACCCAAAGGUCUCAGGGCGGUUCACAACAAGACCACAACAUAUAAAAUCAAACCAAAAGUAAUAACCCAAUAACGUGCCCCCUCCCAAGCCACAUUGGGUGUCAACCAAAGGCCUGGUUAAAAAGGAACGUUUUUGCCUGGUGCCUAAAGGUGUAUAUGUGAUUUCUGAACAUGAAGGAAAUCUAGAGAGUUCUGAGGAAAGAGAUCGGGUUGUACACGGCCCCCCCAUCCCAAAUCUAGGACUGGAGUGAGUAGCUUAAUUUUAUGCCAAUGACCUUUUACUUUGAAAUAAGAACUUAAUAGAAAUUGGUGACACUCUGGUUAAACAUUCAAUUUUAUCUAUUUCGAAGGCAGUUAAGCAACGCAGUCAUCCUAGAUCGUACCUUUUGCCUUCUGCUGGGACAUGCUAGGCCUGAUGAGUGGUUUUUAUUGAUAAUUUGAAAGUAGUUACCAGAUCACUUGGCUUUUUUUCUCUGGUACCAAAUGGACUGCUUCAAAAGUGGGUUGAGGACUAUUGUUUUAACUACUUUUAAGAUCACUGUGUGAGUGAUUUAUCACAAACAAUCAUUUUGAAAAAGGGUGCCCACUAAGAAGAUAUCAUCCGAUAUAAUAUUAUAGUAUUAUGUUACCCUCACAUGUAACUUUAAUCACAAAUUGUUACUGUGUCUAAGACAUCAAAACAUUUUAUACAGUGUGAAAUGCAUUCAAAUUUAUGGAUGGCAGUACUACUUAGGAGGCAAUCAUACUACAGAGCUGAUGUAUAUGCUUCACUCUUAACAGUCGAAUGGCUUUAACUAAAGGGACUCCUACCAUCAUCUAUUGAUGAGAACUUCUUUACAUUACAGUAACAUUAUUACUUUAUAGAGUUGGGCCAAAGAGGUCAACUCAGGAGUAAUGAAUAAUGCCUUUCAGUAAAACCAGAGAAUGAUUGUUUGUGUGGCAAUCUCUCAGUGAAAGUUUUCCAAAGAGGCUGUGAGCUUAUGCCACAAAGUACAGAAAGUCUUCCAGGAAGCAAGUGCUGAAGCUUAGAUCAGGGAGCAGAACCCAUUAAAAGCCAUUAAAGAAACCCAAACUAUAGUCUGAAGGUAAAAAAUGGAUUGAUCUCCUGUAGCUGUAAAAGCAAUAGAAUUUCCAUUUAUUAAUUAAAAGUGCAUUUUAUGUAGUUUGAUGUGAUAAAUUGUUUGACUGUUUAGAUUAAUUCUUUCAGAAAUGCCCCAAAGGCUAUUAACAUUGAUAAAUUAUGCACUACUCCUUGUUAGGUUUGAUAGACAGCUUUCACAGGUAGGCUGCAUUUUUCUUUGGGGAUAUAGGCGGUUAUCUGUAGUUAGCAGCAGUGAGAAUUGCAGCUUGUCCUGCUUUCUCAGCUAGAAAGAAACAAAAGAUCCCAAUCCACAUCAACACUCUUUUGGGUGUGGUUUUCAUUUCAUCCUUUGAGGAUGGAAGGUCCUUAGUCUUAGGCUAUCCUGUCUGGAAUCUCCCAUCUUGCCCAGUAAUGUAUUCUGGAGAAAAAUGGAUGAUUUGGUACAAAUCUCAUAGGAGCCCUGUUCACAUAUUACUCACACAGGGAUUAGUCAUGAUUCACCUUCAACCCUGAUACCAUGGAAUGCACCUAGACGAUGCCAGAGAACUUGCGACCCUCUAGAUGCUAUUGGACUCCAACUCCUAUCAUCUGUAACUAUUGACAAUGCUGGCUCAUAGAAUCAUGGGAUUUGGAGUCCAACAUCAUCUGGAGGGCCACAGGUUCUCAAUCCUUCCAUUAGAACAUCUGGGUGUAUAUUUGGCAAAUAUUCAAUGACUGUCUGGCAAAUAUUAAAGAGCAAAAAUCUGCAUUUUUGAGAAUUUUGGGGAGCAAAUUCAUUUCAGCUCCAGUUGGAACUGAUCAUUUCAAAUCAACCCGUGAAGUGUAGCUGUAUUCACUGCCAUCCUUUAGAUGCCCAUUCAAAACGAUGUUUAUCCAGGUAGUUAUGCAGGUAUUGAAAUGCAAUUUUGCAAGAACGCCAGUGUAAUUUCAGGAGGGAUGGUGCCACAAAGAUCUUGAGUGUGGCUGUACAAUGCGUCAUUUAUCAAACAAUCCAUCCAAAAUUGGUUCGGAAAAUGCAAUAUUUAGGGCUUUCAUGUUUAAUGUGCUGUCUCUUAUCGUUUACAUUGUUGAUUUUAACCAACGGGUUGUACAUCCCCCUGUGUGCAGUUUAGUAUCUGGCAUCCACUGUCAUUUGAGGCCAAAUGUACCAAUGGCAAAUGUACCAUUUUGGCAGCAGCACAUGGCUGCCUAUUGAUUCUGAAUUGUUAGCUGUUGCUGGCUUGUUGGCACAAUUGAAUACUAGUCCCAAAUGAGUAUUUUGUGCUGUCGAAUGCUUUCCAGUACACAAAGCAGCCAGCCAAGAAGAGAAUGAUAAUUCUGGAACCUUUUCCUCAUGUUUUGUGCUGCUUUUUAAAGUUCAGCAUGAGUUGGACCAUUGUAAAGCUAAACUUUCAUAAUACAGUGUAUAUUUCU